CAGCAGCCACGGUAAUACAGAGGGUGCGAGCGUUAAUCGGAUUUACUGGGCGUAAAGCGUGCGUAGGCGGCUAAUUGAGUCGGAUGUGAAAUCCCCGAGCUUAACUUGGGAAUUGCAUUCGAUACUGGUUAGCUAGAGUAUGGGAGAGGAUGGUAGAAUUCCAGGUGUAGCGGUGAAAUGCGUAGAGAUCUGGAGGAAUACCGAUGGCGAAGGCAGCCAUCUGGCCUAAUACUGACGCUGAGGUACGAAAGCAUGGGGAGCAAACAGGAUUAGAUACCCCGGUAGUCCCUGUCUCUUAUAC
This 301-nucleotide ribosomal RNA is filed under the name uncultured bacterium. Its description in RNAcentral is "partial 16S ribosomal RNA". It matches the Rfam family "Bacterial small subunit ribosomal RNA", at positions 509 to 807 of the family's 1533-position model. The record is from RNAcentral.